UUUGAUGGCGACCGGCGCACGGGUGAGUAGCACGUAUCCAACCUGCCGAUGACUCGGGGAUAGCCUUUCGAAAGAAAGAUUAAUACCCGAUGGCAUAGUUCUUCCGCAUGGUGGAACUAUUAAAGAAUUUCGGUCAUCGAUGGGGAUGCGUUCCAUUAGGUUGUUGGCGGGGUAACGGCCCACCAAGCCUUCGAUGGAUAGGGGUUCUGAGAGGAAGGUCCCCCACAUUGGAACUGAGACACGGUCCAAACUCCUACGGGAGGCAGCAUG
RNAcentral lists this ribosomal RNA (270 nucleotides) under uncultured bacterium. Its description in RNAcentral is "partial 16S ribosomal RNA". It matches the Rfam family "Bacterial small subunit ribosomal RNA", at positions 84 to 353 of the family's 1533-position model. The record is from RNAcentral.